GGUUAAGCGACUAAGCGUACACGGUGGAUGCCCUGGCAGUCAGAGGCGAUGAAGGACGUGCUAAUCUGCGAUAAGCGUCGGUGAGGUGAUAUGAACCGUUAUAACCGGCGAUUUCCGAAUGGGGAAACCCAGUGUGUUUCGACACACUAUCAUUAACUGAAUCCAUAGGUUAAUGAGGCGAACCGGGGGAACUGAAACAUCUAAGUACCCCGAGGAAAAGAAAUCAACCGAGAUUCCCCCAGUAGCGGCGAGCGAACGGGGAGGAGCCCAGAGCCUGAAUCAGUGUGUGUGUUAGUGGAAGCGUCUGGAAAGGCGUGCGAUACAGGGUGACAGCCCCGUACACAAAAAUGCACAUAUUGUGAGCUCGAUGAGUAGGGCGGGACACGUGGUAUCCUGUCUGAAUAUGGGGGGACCAUCCUCCAAGGCUAAAUACUCCUGACUGACCGAUAGUGAACCAGUACCGUGAGGGAAAGGCGAAAAGAACCCCGGCGAGGGGAGUGAAAAAGAACCUGAAACCGUGUACGUACAAGCAGUGGGAGCCUCUUAAUGGGGUGACUGCGUACCUUUUGUAUAAUGGGUCAGCGACUUAUAUUCUGUAGCAAGGUUAACCGAA
RNAcentral lists this ribosomal RNA (613 nucleotides) under Escherichia coli. Its description in RNAcentral is "partial 23S ribosomal RNA". It matches the Rfam family "Bacterial large subunit ribosomal RNA", at positions 1 to 654 of the family's 2925-position model. Lineage: Bacteria; Pseudomonadati; Pseudomonadota; Gammaproteobacteria; Enterobacterales; Enterobacteriaceae. The record is from RNAcentral.